UUUGGUCCUAGCCUUAUUAUCAGUUGUCUCUUAACUUACACAUGCAAGUCUCAGCGCCCCCGUGAGGAAGCCCUUAUUACCUACCCCAGGAUAAGGAGCCGGUAUCAGGCUCAACUUUUGCCCAUGACACCUAGUCCUUACCACGCCCCCAAGGGUUAUCAGCAGUGAUAGACAUUAUUUAUAAGCGACAGCUUGACUUAGUUAAAGAGAANAUAGUUGGCCAACACGGUGCCAGCCGCCGCGGUUAUACCCUCCUGAGCUAAAAUUGAUAAUUAUCGGCGUUAAGCGUGAUUAAAGCUAUUUAUGAAUUAGAGUAAAACUCCUUGCCCAGCUGUGAAAAGCUUGCAUUGCGGAAUUCUAUGAACGAAAGUCACUCUAACUUACGCUUGAACACACGACACCUAGGAACA
RNAcentral lists this ribosomal RNA (410 nucleotides) under Minervarya krishnan. RNAcentral's name for it is "Fejervarya krishnan partial 12S ribosomal RNA". The record is from RNAcentral. Lineage: Eukaryota; Metazoa; Chordata; Amphibia; Anura; Dicroglossidae.